Molecule: ribosomal RNA, 305 nt
Filed under: uncultured bacterium
Lineage: Bacteria
Description: partial 16S ribosomal RNA
Rfam family: Bacterial small subunit ribosomal RNA
Source: RNAcentral
ACAGCAGCCGCCGCGGGAAUACGAAGGGUGCAAGCGUUACUCGGAAUUACUGGGCGCAAAGCGUGCGUAGGUGGUGGUUUAAGUCCGUUGUGAAAGCCCUGGGCUCAACCUGGGAAUUGCAGUGGAUACUGGGUCACUAGAGUGUGGUAGAGGAUAGUGGAAUUUCCGGUGUAGCAGUGAAAUGCGUAGAGAUCGGAAGGAACAUCUGUGGCGAAGGCGACUAUCUGGGCCAACACUGGCACUGAGGCACGAAAGCGUGGGGAGCAAACAGGAUUAGAUACCCCAGUAGUCCCUGUCUCUUAUAC